Molecule: transfer RNA, 74 nt
Filed under: Candidatus Pacearchaeota archaeon
Lineage: Archaea; Nanobdellati
Description: tRNA-Arg
Rfam family: tRNA
About the family: Transfer RNA (tRNA) molecules are approximately 80 nucleotides in length. Their secondary structure includes four short double-helical elements and three loops (D, anti-codon, and T loops). Further hydrogen bonds mediate the characteristic L-shaped molecular structure. tRNAs have two regions of fundamental functional importance: the anti-codon, which is responsible for specific mRNA codon recognition, and the 3' end, to which the tRNAs corresponding amino acid is attached (by aminoacyl-tRNA synthetases). tRNAs cope with the degeneracy of the genetic code in two manners: having more than one tRNA (with a specific anti-codon) for a particular amino acid; and 'wobble' base-pairing, i.e. permitting non-standard base-pairing at the 3rd anti-codon position.
Source: RNAcentral
GCACCUGUAGCUCAGUUGGAUAGAGCGCUUCCCUCCUAAGGAAGAAGUCGUAGGUUCAAAUCCUACCAGGUGCG